Pelobates cultripes (western spadefoot toad) is the source of this 753-nucleotide non-coding RNA. Lineage: Eukaryota; Metazoa; Chordata; Amphibia; Anura; Pelobatidae. The record is from the annotation of a GenBank genome assembly.
CCCUCUUUGAGCAAUUAAUUUGCUCAUCUUAUCAAUAAAAUUUUACCAGGACAGAGAAACUUCCACAUGGUAUUUUCAGGGGUGCUAGUCACUCCCUGCGGGACUUUCAUUAAUUUCUUCACCUCGAUUCCCAUGUGGUAAUUCCUAAGGCCCAGUUUUAAAGAUGGGUUGAUAGCCUCCAGUGGCAGAGAGGAGAGUUUCCAAUUGUUUCUGUUCUGCAUUAUAGAUUAAUUUCUGUAUUCUCUUUCUCAGUGUACAAGUAAGAUGGCAGUUAUACAAAAUCAUACACAAUAAAAUCAGGACUAUAAUAACAAGAGGAUAGAAGAAUGAUUUCAUUAUCUGGGAUCCAGUAGGAGACCAACCAGUGAAGCAUCGUACCAAUGAUGGGCUAAAUCAUUCUGAAUCUGUGAACUCACCUUAAGGAGUUCUCCUUUUAGGAUAUGUGUGGCUACCUGUGUGUGUACUAGAGCAUCAUUAUGUGUAACAAGAUGUUUAAACAUAUUUUGUUUUCCUUUCAUUAAGGAGACAAUAGUCUCAAGAGGUAAAUGGUAAUCUUCAAAAGGCAGCGAGCCCAAUAGGGCAUUAACAUGUUUGUCUAAAGUGAUUGUGUUGCUGAAAUAAUAUUGGGUGCCAUUAAGAUCUAACCAGGUAAUAUUAGUCAAACAUCCUGAAAAAGGGAGAGGUAGAUUAAUACUUGUAGUGCUAGUAAUUAUCUUUGUAGGGAGAUUAGUUGCUAAACAGAUAUGUCGUGUG